GGGGGCGAUGGGUAUCGACAAAGGCGGAUAGCGGCGGCAGUUGCGAGCCGAGGCGCCGCUGGCCUCGUAAAAAGCGGCAAAAAACAAACGCCAACACUGGCACGUACGCUUACGCUGCCUAAUUAGUUAGGGAGCGCGCUUCUCCAGGGCCGGGCCGGGAGCCCGAAGAGAGGCGACGACAAUCCUGGCCGCCCGCGUGGGUUUCACCCGCGAGCCCACGUGCGGUAAUCGCGGGCUGGCGCGUGGCCGGUUUGCCGAUGGAACGGCGCGCGCGAGACUUAAACAUCGGCUACGCUCGUAGGCGCUACCGCACGCACCCUUUGGACCCGGGUUCAAUUCCCGGCGCCUCCACUU
RNAcentral lists this transfer-messenger RNA (354 nucleotides) under Armatimonadota. Its description in RNAcentral is "JACQGL01 sp016199525 Standard tmRNA". It matches the Rfam family "transfer-messenger RNA". From Rfam's summary of the family: Bacterial tmRNA, also known as 10Sa RNA or SsrA, is named for its dual tRNA and mRNA-like properties. Its role is to liberate the mRNA from a stalled ribosome. To accomplish this part of the tmRNA is used as a reading frame that ends in a translation stop signal. The record is from RNAcentral. Lineage: Bacteria; Bacillati. RNAcentral also lists the same sequence under 1 other name.